This 216-nucleotide ribosomal RNA is filed under the name Glomeromycotina sp. Its description in RNAcentral is "partial small subunit ribosomal RNA". The stretch from base 40 to 216 matches the Rfam family "Eukaryotic small subunit ribosomal RNA", at positions 686 to 864 of the family's 1831-position model. The record is from RNAcentral. Lineage: Eukaryota; Fungi; Glomeromycota.
GGGUCAGUAGGUUGGUCGUGCCACCGGUACGUACUGGUCUCACUGAUUCCUCCUUCCUGAAGAACCGUAAUGCCAUUAAUUUGGUGUUGCGGGGAAACAGGACUGUUACUUUGAAAAAAUUAGAGUGUUUAACGCAAGCUAACGCUUGAAUACAUUAGCAUGGAAUAAUGAAAUAGGGCGAUCGAUCCUAUUUUGUUGGUUUCUAGGAUUGACGUA